Molecule: transfer RNA, 73 nt
Filed under: Canis lupus familiaris (dog)
Lineage: Eukaryota; Metazoa; Chordata; Mammalia; Carnivora; Canidae
Also listed under: 1 other name
Rfam family: tRNA
About the family: Transfer RNA (tRNA) molecules are approximately 80 nucleotides in length.
Source: Rfam by way of RNAcentral
GCCUGGCUGGCCCAAUUGGUAGAGCAUGUGACUCUUGAUCUCAAGGUAAUGAGUUCAAGCCCCAUGUUGGGCA